This 1198-nucleotide ribosomal RNA is filed under the name Escherichia coli. RNAcentral's name for it is "partial 23S ribosomal RNA". It matches the Rfam family "Bacterial large subunit ribosomal RNA", at positions 1 to 1230 of the family's 2925-position model. The record is from RNAcentral. Lineage: Bacteria; Pseudomonadati; Pseudomonadota; Gammaproteobacteria; Enterobacterales; Enterobacteriaceae.
GGGUUGUGAGGUUAAGCGACUAAGCGUACACGGUGGAUGCCCUGGCAGUCAGAGGCGAUGAAGGACGUGCUAAUCUGCGAUAAGCGUCGGUAAGGUGAUAUGAACCGUUAUAACCGGCGAUUUCCGAAUGGGGAAACCCAGUGUGAUUCGUCACACUAUCAUUAACUGAAUCCAUAGGUUAAUGAGGCGAACCGGGGGAACUGAAACAUCUAAGUACCCCGAGGAAAAGAAAUCAACCGAGAUUCCCCCAGUAGCGGCGAGCGAACGGGGAGCAGCCCAGAGCCUGAAUCAGUGUGUGUGUUAGUGGAAGCGUCUGGAAAGGCGCGCGAUACAGGGUGACAGCCCCGUACACAAAAAUGCACAUGCUGUGAGCUCGAUGAGUAGGGCGGGACACGUGGUAUCCUGUCUGAAUAUGGGGGGACCAUCCUCCAAGGCUAAAUACUCCUGACUGACCGAUAGUGAACCAGUACCGUGAGGGAAAGGCGAAAAGAACCCCGGCGAGGGGAGUGAAAAAGAACCUGAAACCGUGUACGUACAAGCAGUGGGAGCACGCUUAGGCGUGUGACUGCGUACCUUUUGUAUAAUGGGUCAGCGACUUAUAUUCUGUAGCAAGGUUAACCGAAUAGGGGAGCCGAAGGGAAACCGAGUCUUAACUGGGCGUUAAGUUGCAGGGUAUAGACCCGAAACCCGGUGAUCUAGCCAUGGGCAGGUUGAAGGUUGGGUAACACUAACUGGAGGACCGAACCGACUAAUGUUGAAAAAUUAGCGGAUGACUUGUGGCUGGGGGUGAAAGGCCAAUCAAACCGGGAGAUAGCUGGUUCUCCCCGAAAGCUAUUUAGGUAGCGCCUCGUGAAUUCAUCUCCGGGGGUAGAGCACUGUUUCGGCAAGGGGGUCAUCCCGACUUACCAACCCGAUGCAAACUGCGAAUACCGGAGAAUGUUAUCACGGGAGACACACGGCGGGUGCUAACGUCCGUCGUGAAGAGGGAAACAACCCAGACCGCCAGCUAAGGUCCCAAAGUCAUGGUUAAGUGGGAAACGAUGUGGGAAGGCCCAGACAGCCAGGAUGUUGGCUUAGAAGCAGCCAUCAUUUAAAGAAAGCGUAAUAGCUCACUGGUCGAGUCGGCCUGCGCGGAAGAUGUAACGGGGCUAAACCAUGCACCGAAGCUGCGGCAGCGACGCUGAUGCGUUGUUGGGUA